RNAcentral lists this long non-coding RNA (611 nucleotides) under Monodelphis domestica (gray short-tailed opossum). RNAcentral describes it as "lncRNA (ENSMODG00000033039.2)". The record is from RNAcentral. Lineage: Eukaryota; Metazoa; Chordata; Mammalia; Didelphimorphia; Didelphidae.
CUUCAGACACAUCUGCUCUUUUGGCAACCACUGCCCUAUUGAAGCCUUCUCAUUGGCUCAUGUUAACCAUAUGAUAGGCCUCCUGGAACUUAUUUGUGGCUCCCAAUGCUGAAAGCAAAGGCAGAGAGGGUUGCGACUCUGCAAUGCUAAACUCCAAAUCCUGGAUCAGAAGUGCAGAGACAACAGGAAGUAUAAUGGUUGUCCAUCAAUCAGAAAAUUAUGGUAUAUGAAUGCAAUAGACACUUGCUUCAUGACUGGUAGGUAAGUCAUAGCCUUUGUGCCUCAUUUUCUUCAUCUGUUAAAAUGAAGAUUAUAAUAACACCUAUCUCACAGGAUUUGUUGUAAGGAUCAAAUGAGAAUAUUUAUGAAGUUUUUUUGCAAAUCUUAAAUCAUUAUAUAAAUGCUAGCUAUUAUUGCUAGCUUUUACUAACAAAAUAUUAUUGUAAUAUCAGAAAUGAUGAAAGGCUUAGGUUCAAGUCAGUAUGGUAAGACUUGUUUGAACUGAUAUAGACCGAAAGGAACAGAACUAGAAUAAUUUAAAUAAUGACUACAAUAUUGUAAAGAAAAACAGUUUUGAAAAACUUAAGAUGUCUAAGCUAUUCAAUGUCCAG